GGUCUGCGUGUGCUUAGAACUAGACUAGUCUAUUACUAUUAGUUCAUCGUCGAUCCGUCGUCCCAUGCCCUCCUCAGAGACAGACCACGCCACAGAAGCCGCUAAAAUGGUGUUUUCGAGAUGUUUUAAGAGGGGCAGGUAGACACUUGAUGACAAUCAACGCAAAGGCACAAGGUCACUGUCAAGAUAAAGGAGAAAUGGCAUGUGUACUCCACCGAUUGUGAGAAGGGGCUCUUGAUUAUCCUUUGAAAAAAAGUGGUAGAUCAAGUUGAUCCAGUGUAACAGUAGCAGCAAAUCUAUGAGAUUUCAUAUGGGAUCCCUUUAAGUACAAGGUCUACGCAGCUUCACACACGCACUGAGAGGGACCUGGCAGAGGCUAAUAGCAUGGCCCUUGGUAUGAUCAGCCUAAGGUUAAGGUUGAUUCAACGAGACAUUAAAUGGAGAUUUUUCAGUGAAUAUUUUUUUAAUGUUUAAUUCCAGAUAUUUAAUUGUCUCAAGUAAAAAAAUAUGUGUUCACUAGUGUUGAUUUGAAAAAAAAGCUCCUGCUGUGGCAAUCGAAAAGAGCGCUAUAUUUUGAUUUCUUACAAAGAAGUUUCAGAACCUAUGACUAUAAAAUUUCACACUUUAUAUCUAAAGGGUUUAAUUAUUUAAAAUAAUUUGCAAGUUUCUUGGAGGUUACACAAAUUUGAAAAAGUGUAAUUUGUAAGAGUUUACAGAACUCAAUAUCACUGUAUUUUGAUGAUAUUUAAUUUGGGUUUGAAUUAGAGCAAACAAUUUAAGAUUAUACAAGUUAAACAAAUAGGGUGUGUAGUUUGAUAAAUGUGGGAUAUCCAUUUGUUUCAUUAUACUACAAAUUUUUGUGAAAGGUCGAUCAUCCACUAUUGUUAGAGGAAACCUCACAAAACCUCACCCUAAAGAAUAAGCGUAGGUAUUCUGAAAAGUGAGAUGUAUUUCUGCCGGCCCUAUGAUGUACAAAAUUCCUUACGAAAA
This 990-nucleotide long non-coding RNA is filed under the name Strongylocentrotus purpuratus (purple sea urchin). Its description in RNAcentral is "uncharacterized LOC115925191". Lineage: Eukaryota; Metazoa; Echinodermata; Echinoidea; Camarodonta; Strongylocentrotidae. The record is from RNAcentral.